RNAcentral lists this transfer RNA (78 nucleotides) under Prosthecobacter sp. RNAcentral's name for it is "tRNA-Arg". The record is from RNAcentral. Lineage: Bacteria; Pseudomonadati; Verrucomicrobiota; Verrucomicrobiia; Verrucomicrobiales; Verrucomicrobiaceae.
GCCCGCAAGGUGUAACAGCAUUGCAUACGCCGCUUCUAACGGCCGUGGUUCCAGGUGCAAGUCCUGGUGCGGGCACCA